Molecule: ribosomal RNA, 119 nt
Filed under: Myotis brandtii (Brandt's bat)
Lineage: Eukaryota; Metazoa; Chordata; Mammalia; Chiroptera; Vespertilionidae
Source: RNAcentral
GUCUACGGCCAUACCACCCUGAACGCGCCCGAUCUCGUCUGAUCUCGGAAGCUAAGCAGGGUCGGGCCUGGUUAGUACUUGGAUGGGAGACCGUCUGGGAAUACCGGGUGCUGUAGGCU